RNAcentral lists this ribosomal RNA (497 nucleotides) under uncultured bacterium. Its description in RNAcentral is "partial 16S ribosomal RNA". It matches the Rfam family "Bacterial small subunit ribosomal RNA", at positions 28 to 507 of the family's 1533-position model. The record is from RNAcentral.
GAUGAACGCUGGCGGCGUGCCUAAUACAUGCAAGUCGAGCGAACAGAUAAGGAGCUUGCUCCUUUGACGUUAGCGGCGGACGGGUGAGUAACACGUGGGUAACCUACCUAUAAGACUGGAAUAACUCCGGGAAACCGGGGCUAAUGCCGGAUAACAUUUAGAACCGCAUGGUUCUAAAGUGAAAGAUGGUUUUGCUAUCACUUAUAGAUGGACCCGCGCCGUAUUAGCUAGUUGGUAAGGUAACGGCUUACCAAGGCAACGAUACGUAGCCGAACUGAGAGGGGGAUCGGCCACACUGGAACGGGAACACGGUCCAGACUCCUACGGGAGGCAGCAGUAGGGAAUCUUCCGCAAUGGGCGAAAGCCUGACGGAGCAACGCCGCGUGAGUGAUGAAGGUCUUCGGAUCGUAAAACUCUGUUAUUAGGGAAGAACAAAUGUGUAAGUAACUGUGCACGUCUUGACGGUACCUAAUCAGAAAGCCACGGCUAACUACGUG